RNAcentral lists this ribosomal RNA (408 nucleotides) under Calanus helgolandicus. Its description in RNAcentral is "partial 16S ribosomal RNA". It matches the Rfam family "Archaeal large subunit ribosomal RNA", at positions 1889 to 2606 of the family's 2987-position model. Lineage: Eukaryota; Metazoa; Arthropoda; Copepoda; Calanoida; Calanidae. The record is from RNAcentral.
CGCCUGUUUAACAAAAACAUCGUAAAAUAGAUUUAUAUUGCCUGCUCAGUGAAUAUUUAAACAGCCGCAUUAGUGUUAAGGUAGCAUAGUAAUUAGUUUUUUAAUUGGAAAAUGGAAUGAAUGGCUCCACUAAAGCAUAGUAUUUACACUAAAAAAUGAAAUUUUAAUUUAAGUGAAAAUACUUAAAUGCUAUAUUUAGACGAGAAGACCCUAUGAAGCUGGUAGACCAUAAGUGUAAUUAUUUCAUAGUAGCAGGUCUAUUUUUUGGGGUAAAAUUUAAUAAUUAUAUUAAUAUAGAUUUGUUCAAACUUAUCCUUCUGGAAUUAUGAAUAAGCUCCUCUAGGGAUAACAGCAUUAUGCUUAAAAGAGUUCUUAUCAGAAUAAGCGUUUGUGACCUCGAUGUUGAAU